RNAcentral lists this ribosomal RNA (2557 nucleotides) under Escherichia coli. Its description in RNAcentral is "partial 23S ribosomal RNA". It matches the Rfam family "Bacterial large subunit ribosomal RNA", at positions 375 to 2915 of the family's 2925-position model. The record is from RNAcentral. Lineage: Bacteria; Pseudomonadati; Pseudomonadota; Gammaproteobacteria; Enterobacterales; Enterobacteriaceae.
GUACACAAAAAUGCACAUAUUGUGAGCUCGAUGAGUAGGGCGGGACACGUGGUAUCCUGUCUGAAUAUGGGGGGACCAUCCUCCAAGGCUAAAUACUCCUGACUGACCGAUAGUGAACCAGUACCGUGAGGGAAAGGCGAAAAGAACCCCGGCGAGGGGAGUGAAAAAGAACCUGAAACCGUGUACGUACAAGCAGUGGGAGCCUCUUUAUGGGGUGACUGCGUACCUUUUGUAUAAUGGGUCAGCGACUUAUAUUCUGUAGCAAGGUUAACCGAAUAGGGGAGCCGAAGGGAAACCGAGUCUUAACUGGGCGUUAAGUUGCAGGGUAUAGACCCGAAACCCGGUGAUCUAGCCAUGGGCAGGUUGAAGGUUGGGUAACACUAACUGGAGGACCGAACCGACUAAUGUUGAAAAAUUAGCGGAUGACUUGUGGCUGGGGGUGAAAGGCCAAUCAAACCGGGAGAUAGCUGGUUCUCCCCGAAAGCUAUUUAGGUAGCGCCUCGUGAAUUCAUCUCCGGGGGUAGAGCACUGUUUCGGCAAGGGGGUCAUCCCGACUUACCAACCCGAUGCAAACUGCGAAUACCGGAGAAUGUUAUCACGGGAGACACACGGCGGGUGCUAACGUCCGUCGUGAAGAGGGAAACAACCCAGACCGCCAGCUAAGGUCCCAAAGUCAUGGUUAAGUGGGAAACGAUGUGGGAAGGCCCAGACAGCCAGGAUGUUGGCUUAGAAGCAGCCAUCAUUUAAAGAAAGCGUAAUAGCUCACUGGUCGAGUCGGCCUGCGCGGAAGAUGUAACGGGGCUAAACCAUGCACCGAAGCUGCGGCAGCGACACUAUGUGUUGUUGGGUAGGGGAGCGUUCUGUAAGCCUGUGAAGGUGGCCUGUGAGGGUUGCUGGAGGUAUCAGAAGUGCGAAUGCUGACAUAAGUAACGAUAAAGCGGGUGAAAAGCCCGCUCGCCGGAAGACCAAGGGUUCCUGUCCAACGUUAAUCGGGGCAGGGUGAGUCGACCCCUAAGGCGAGGCCGAAAGGCGUAGUCGAUGGGAAACAGGUUAAUAUUCCUGUACUUGGUGUUACUGCGAAGGGGGGACGGAGAAGGCUAUGUUGGCCGGGCGACGGUUGUCCCGGUUUAAGCGUGUAGGCUGGUUUUCCAGGCAAAUCCGGAAAACCAAGGCUGAGGCGUGAUGACGAGGCACUACGGUGCUGAAGCGACAAAUGCCCUGCUUCCAGGAAAAGCCUCUAAGCAUCAGGUAACAUCAAAUCGUACCCCAAACCGACACAGGUGGUCAGGUAGAGAAUACCAAGGCGCUUGAGAGAACUCGGGUGAAGGAACUAGGCAAAAUGGUGCCGUAACUUCGGGAGAAGGCACGCUGAUAUGUAGGUGAAGCGACUUGCUCGUGGAGCUGAAAUCAGUCGAAGAUACCAGCUGGCUGCAACUGUUUAUUAAAAACACAGCACUGUGCAAACACGAAAGUGGACGUAUACGGUGUGACGCCUGCCCGGUGCCGGAAGGUUAAUUGAUGGGGUUAGCGGUAACGCGAAGCUCUUGAUCGAAGCCCCGGUAAACGGCGGCCGUAACUAUAACGGUCCUAAGGUAGCGAAAUUCCUUGUCGGGUAAGUUCCGACCUGCACGAAUGGCGUAAUGAUGGCCAGGCUGUCUCCACCCGAGACUCAGUGAAAUUGAACUCGCUGUGAAGAUGCAGUGUACCCGCGGCAAGACGGAAAGACCCCGUGAACCUUUACUAUAGCUUGACACUGAACAUUGAGCCUUGAUGUGUAGGAUAGGUGGGAGGCUUUGAAGUGUGGACGCCAGUCUGCAUGGAGCCGACCUUGAAAUACCACCCUUUAAUGUUUGAUGUUCUAACGUUGGCCCGUAAUCCGGGUUGCGGACAGUGUCUGGUGGGUAGUUUGACUGGGGCGGUCUCCUCCUAAAGAGUAACGGAGGAGCACGAAGGUUGGCUAAUCCUGGUCGGACAUCAGGAGGUUAGUGCAAUGGCAUAAGCCAGCUUGACUGCGAGCGUGACGGCGCGAGCAGGUGCGAAAGCAGGUCAUAGUGAUCCGGUGGUUCUGAAUGGAAGGGCCAUCGCUCAACGGAUAAAAGGUACUCCGGGGAUAACAGGCUGAUACCGCCCAAGAGUUCAUAUCGACGGCGGUGUUUGGCACCUCGAUGUCGGCUCAUCACAUCCUGGGGCUGAAGUAGGUCCCAAGGGUAUGGCUGUUCGCCAUUUAAAGUGGUACGCGAGCUGGGUUUAGAACGUCGUGAGACAGUUCGGUCCCUAUCUGCCGUGGGCGCUGGAGAACUGAGGGGGGCUGCUCCUAGUACGAGAGGACCGGAGUGGACGCAUCACUGGUGUUCGGGUUGUCAUGCCAAUGGCACUGCCCGGUAGCUAAAUGCGGAAGAGAUAAGUGCUGAAAGCAUCUAAGCACGAAACUUGCCCCGAGAUGAGUUCUCCCUGACUCCUUGAGAGUCCUGAAGGAACGUUGAAGACGACGACGUUGAUAGGCCGGGUGUGUAAGCGCAGCGAUGCGUUGAGCUAACCGGUACUAAUGAACCGUGAG